RNAcentral lists this ribosomal RNA (589 nucleotides) under Candida tropicalis. Its description in RNAcentral is "partial large subunit ribosomal RNA". It matches the Rfam family "Eukaryotic large subunit ribosomal RNA", at positions 50 to 655 of the family's 3401-position model. Lineage: Eukaryota; Fungi; Ascomycota; Pichiomycetes; Serinales; Debaryomycetaceae. The record is from RNAcentral.
GCGGAGGAAAAGAAACCAACAGGGAUUGCCUUAGUAGCGGCGAGUGAAGCGGCAAAAGCUCAAAUUUGAAAUCUGGCUCUUUCAGAGUCCGAGUUGUAAUUUGAAGAAGGUAUCUUUGGGUCUGGCUCUUGUCUAUGUUUCUUGGAACAGAACGUCACAGAGGGUGAGAAUCCCGUGCGAUGAGAUGAUCCAGGCCUAUGUAAAGUUCCUUCGAAGAGUCGAGUUGUUUGGGAAUGCAGCUCUAAGUGGGUGGUAAAUUCCAUCUAAAGCUAAAUAUUGGCGAGAGACCGAUAGCGAACAAGUACAGUGAUGGAAAGAUGAAAAGAACUUUGAAAAGAGAGUGAAAAAGUACGUGAAAUUGUUGAAAGGGAAGGGCUUGAGAUCAGACUUGGUAUUUUGUAUGUUACUUCUUCGGGGGUGGCCUCUACAGUUUAUCGGGCCAGCAUCAGUUUGGGCGGUAGGAGAAUUGCGUUGGAAUGUGGCACGGCUUCGGUUGUGUGUUAUAGCCUUCGUCGAUACUGCCAGCCUAGACUGAGGACUGCGGUUUAUACCUAGGAUGUUGGCAUAAUGAUCUUAAGUCGCCCGUCUU